This 529-nucleotide ribosomal RNA is filed under the name uncultured bacterium. Its description in RNAcentral is "bacterial SSU rRNA". It matches the Rfam family "Bacterial small subunit ribosomal RNA", at positions 777 to 1304 of the family's 1533-position model. The record is from RNAcentral.
AAUAGAUACCCUGGUAGUCCACGCCGUAAACGAUGUCGACUUGGAGGUUGUGCCCUUGAGGCGUGGCUUCCGGAGCUAACGCGUUAAGUCGACCGCCUGGGGAGUACGGCCGCAAGGUUAAAACUCAAAUGAAUUGACGGGGGCCCGCACAAGCGGUGGAGCAUGUGGUUUAAUUCGAUGCAACGCGAAGAACCUUACCUACUCUUGACAUCCAGAGAACUUAGCAGAGAUGCUUUGGUGCCUUCGGGAACUCUGAGACAGGUGCUGCAUGGCUGUCGUCAGCUCGUGUUGUGAAAUGUUGGGUUAAGUCCCGCAACGAGCGCAACCCUUAUCCUUUGUUGCCAGCGGUUAGGCCGGGGAACUCAAAGGAGACUGGCCAGUGAUAAACUGGAGGAAGGUGGGGAUGACGUCAAGUCAUCAUGGCCCUUACGAGUAGGGCUACACACGUGCUACAAUGGCAUAUACAAAGAGAAGCGACCUCGCGAGAGCAAGCGGACCUCAUAAAGUAUGUCGUAGUCCGGAUUGGAGU